GGCAGCGCACGAGGCCUUUACUGACGCUAAAGCUCGAAGGUGCGGGUAUCGAACAGGAUUAGAUACCCUGGUAGUCCGCACGGUAAACGAUGGAUGCCCGCUGUUUGCGAUACACUGUGAGCGGCCAAGCGAAAGCGUUAAGCAUCCCACCUGGGGAGUACGCCGGCAACGGUGAAACUCAAAGGAAUUGACGGGGGCCCGCACAAGCGGAGGAACAUGUGGUUUAAUUCGAUGAUACGCGAGGAACCUUACCCGGGCUUGAACUGCCGGCGAACGAUACAGAGAUGUUGAGGCCCUUCGGGGCGCCGGCGGAGGUGCUGCAUGGUUGUCGUCAGCUCGUGCCGUGAGGUGUCGGCUUAAGUGCCAUAACGAGCGCAACCCCUCUCCGUAGUUGCCAUCGGGUGAUGCCGGGCACUCUGCGGACACUGCCACCGUAAGGUGUGAGGAAGGUGGGGAUGACGUCAAAUCAGCACGGCCCUUACGUCCGGGGCUACACACGUUGACAAUGGGUGGUACAGAGGGCAGGCGUCCGGCAACGUCCGUCUAAUCCCGAAAGCCAUCCUCAGUUCGGACUGGGGUCUGCAACCCGACCCCACGAAGC
Molecule: ribosomal RNA, 601 nt
Filed under: uncultured bacterium
Lineage: Bacteria
Description: bacterial SSU rRNA
Rfam family: Bacterial small subunit ribosomal RNA
Source: RNAcentral